This 808-nucleotide long non-coding RNA is filed under the name Ananas comosus (pineapple). RNAcentral describes it as "long non-coding RNA (ACOM_LNC015156)". Lineage: Eukaryota; Viridiplantae; Streptophyta; Magnoliopsida; Poales; Bromeliaceae. The record is from RNAcentral.
UAUUUUAGUUAAUUAAACAAAAUUUUUAUUAAACUUUAUACAAAUUUGACCAAAUUCAAUCAUUAUAAUUAUUUUUUAUGAAAUAAAAUUAAAUAACUAAUUACUAACAAUUAAUAUAUCUAUUAAAUUUGCUAAAUUUUUUAUUUAAAUAACAUUUUUAAAAUUAUUUUAAUAGUUUUUCCUAAUUUCUUUUCCCACUUACGCCUUUUUUAAAUAAUUAUCACUAGAAAAAAUUUGAAUAAAAACUGUGUGAAGACCCCCUCAACUAUAAGGAUGCUUUGAAAUACAACCCUCAAAUUUAUUUUUUAACUGAUUUUUAUAUUUUUUAUUUUUUAUGAUUAAUUUUAGUUAUUUAAACAAAAUUUUUAUUAAACUUUAUACAAAAUUUGACCAAAUUCAAUCAUUAUUAUUCUUUUUUAUGAAAUAAAAUUAUAUAACUAAUAACUAAUAGUUAAUACAUCUAUAAAAUUUACUAAGUUUUUAAUUUAUAUAAAAUGUUUAAAAAUUAUUUUAGUAGUUUUUCCUUUUUUUUCCACAUUUGCCUUUUUAAAUUAAUUUAAUUACCAAUAAGUUCUUACAAAAAAUUAUGUCACACAUAAACCAAUUUAAACUAUUUUUUUAAAAUUAUUUAUUAAAUUAUUGGCCAAUUUGCAUAAAAAAAUCAUUAAUUUUGGGCUUUUGCAAAAGUAGGUCGCCUUUUUGGAUUUUGCAGAUUCAAAUCGGAUUUUCAGAAAACUGACCAAAAUAUCCUUAUUUUCUUUUCUCUCUCCUCUUUGUUUCUCUCAUUUUUUUUUUCUUUCUCUCCCUA